CCCUUAGAUGUCCUGGGCCGCACGCGCGCUACACUGAUGCAUGCAACGAGUUUAUAACCUUGGCCUGAAAGGUCUGGGUAAUCUUUUGAACGUGCAUCGUGAUAGGGAUAGAUUAUUGCAAUUGUUAAUCUUGAACGAGGAAUUCCUAGUAAACGCGAGUCAUCAGCUCGCAUUGAUUACGUCCCUGCCCUUUGUACACACCGCCCGUCGCACCUACCGAUUGAAUGGUUCGGUGAAGAUCUCGGACUUCGAUAUUUAUUCUUUACUGAGUUUAUAUUGUGGGAAGUUAUCUAAACCUCAUCAUUUAGAGGAAGGUGAAGGCGUAACA
Molecule: ribosomal RNA, 328 nt
Filed under: uncultured eukaryote
Lineage: Eukaryota
Description: partial 18S ribosomal RNA
Rfam family: Eukaryotic small subunit ribosomal RNA
Source: RNAcentral